RNAcentral lists this unclassified non-coding RNA (381 nucleotides) under fungal sp. RNAcentral describes it as "partial internal transcribed spacer region". The stretch from base 1 to 46 matches the Rfam family "Eukaryotic small subunit ribosomal RNA", at positions 1786 to 1831 of the family's 1831-position model. The record is from RNAcentral. Lineage: Eukaryota; Fungi.
AAGUCGUAACAAGGUUUCCGUAGGUGAACCUGCGGAAGGAUCAUUACAACGUAUAUCCACGUACCAAACUCUCGAACCGUUCCCAACGAAGCAAACACUUGUGGAUGAAGUUAAUGGCUGUCUUUCGCUGAUGGAGUCCGCUGACUUUUGUCAAAGGGACUGAAAGGCAUUCGGUCGCCGGAGCUCGUCUCUGGGGCUUCGUUUACUUCGUUGCGGUUUUACCGUCAGCGUUUGUAAUACCAUUAUUGACCCUUUGAACUUAUGAACUGAACUUGAUAGCUUUGCAGCUGUCCUUGCUGGCUUCGGUCACGGACAUAACUGCUCAGCUUAUCACAUUUACAAAACAAAGAACAACUCUUAGCAACGGAUAUCUUGGUUCUC